This 22-nucleotide non-coding RNA is filed under the name Costaria costata. The record is from RNAcentral. Lineage: Eukaryota; Phaeophyceae; Laminariales; Agaraceae. RNAcentral also lists the same sequence under 34 other names.
CGGACCUCCGAUCAAGCAAGAG